This 468-nucleotide ribosomal RNA is filed under the name uncultured bacterium. Its description in RNAcentral is "partial 16S ribosomal RNA". It matches the Rfam family "Bacterial small subunit ribosomal RNA", at positions 28 to 507 of the family's 1533-position model. The record is from RNAcentral.
GAUGAACGCUGGCGGCGUGCUUAACACAUGCAAGUCGAACGGAAAGGCCGAAGCUUGCUUCGGUACUCGAGUGGCGAACGGGUGGGUAACACGUGGGUGAUCUGCCCUGUACUUCGGGAUAAGCUUGGGAAACUGGGUCUAAUACCGGAUAUGACGAUCUCUUGGAUGGGGUUGUGGAAAGCUUUUGCGGUAUGGGAUGAGCUCGCGGCCUAUCAGCUUGUUGGUGGGGUAAUGGCCUACCAAGGCGUCGACGGGUAGCCGGCCUGAGAGGGUGUACGGCCACAUUGGGACUGAGAUACGGCCCAGACUCCUACGGGAGGCAGUAGUGGGGAAUAUUGCACAAUGGGCGCAAGCCUGAUGCAGCGACGCCGCGUGGGGGAUGACGGCCUUCGGGUUGUAAACUCCUUUCGCAAUCGACGAAGCCUUUUGGUGACGGUAGGUUGAGAAGAAGCACCGGCUAACUACGUG